UCUCACACCUCCACUUGUGGUUGGUCAGCCAAGCGAAACAUGACUCUCCUUUUUCUUUCUUCAGGGUGCCACAUCCUCCCAUCACCGCUAGGAGGCGACAAAGCAGCGCGGCUGAAUCAUAGUCUACUGAUGUCUGCCUUUCGAAUCAAGUUACCGUGCGGGAAUCAUGAAAUGCUAAAGUUCAAUUCAUUUUUAAGCAGUAGACGAAUCCUCCCUGUGAUGUGUCGAAGAGACAGACAUUGUCACCAACAGAUUUCUAAGUGGGCUCUGCACAUGUUGAAAAAAGAAUGCCAGGGGAUUCACACAGAGAGGAUAAAAAGCAGAGGAGGUCACACUCCUUUCAUUUCCUCACAGAAGGCAA
Long non-coding RNA from Sander lucioperca (pikeperch), 361 nucleotides. RefSeq lists it as uncharacterized. Lineage: Eukaryota; Metazoa; Chordata; Actinopteri; Perciformes; Percidae. The record is from RefSeq and is a predicted model, not a curated record. The transcript is spliced from 3 exons.